RNAcentral lists this ribosomal RNA (253 nucleotides) under uncultured bacterium. RNAcentral describes it as "partial 16S ribosomal RNA". It matches the Rfam family "Bacterial small subunit ribosomal RNA", at positions 524 to 776 of the family's 1533-position model. The record is from RNAcentral.
UACAGAUGUCCCGAGCGUUGUUCGGAUUCACUGGGCGUAAAGGGUGCGUAGGUGGCCUGAAAAGUUUGAUGUGAAAGCUCAGGGCUUAACCCUGAAAUGGCAUUGAAUACUGUCGGGCUGGAGGUUUGGAGGGGGGACUGGAAUUCUUGGUGUAGCAGUGAAAUGCGUAGAUAUCAAGAGGAACACCAGUGGCGAAGGCGAGUCCCUGGACAACACCUGACACUGAGGCACGAAAGCUAGGGGAGCAAACAGG